This is a long non-coding RNA of Peromyscus leucopus (white-footed mouse), 1523 nucleotides long. RefSeq lists it as uncharacterized. NCBI's taxonomy places the organism in Eukaryota, Metazoa, Chordata, Mammalia, Rodentia, Cricetidae. The transcript is spliced from 3 exons. The record is from RefSeq and is a predicted model, not a curated record.
CCAAACCUUCUCAGGCUCCAGCAAAGCCCUCUUGGCUGUGCAUCCAACUGUCUUUCAGGGUCCCCAAGCUCAGUGGGAAGUCAAGAGACAAAGCUACUCCAGUUGGCUGCAAGCAAGGCCUCAGCCCUCCCUCUUAGCUCCCUCCCAGCCUUCUCAGCUAAGUUAAAGUGAAAGGCAGGCGAGGAGGCCAGAGAAGAGGCUACAGACAGAGGCUGGCCAGGCCAAUCUCCAUUUUCAUCAUCUGAUAGCAGGAACAGCAUGUGAGGACCGCGGAUGAAUCGCCAACCUGUGCAGUUACCACCCAACCUCAGCCUACCAGGAGCACUCCAGCCCACACCAGAAACCACUCAUGGAGCGGGCUCCCAACAACCAGGGCCGAGGUGCAGAGAGGAACCUGGGUCCAUCCCUCCAGUGAUUUUGAGUGGUUUUGUUCCUUUCUGCUCCUGCUGCUUGGUAGGAGACAUAGACGACUCCCCCAGCCUCCUCACUCUCUCUCUCUCUCUCUCUCUCUCUCUCUCUCUCUCUCUCUCUCUCCCUCUCCCUCUCCCUUUUUCCUGAGGCAAGUCAUUACCUCACCACGGACAGGGGCCCAGUGGUACCACCACCUCUUACAUUCUAUCCACAUCCAGCCACAAUCAUUUAUCAAUCAGCUAAUGAAUUUUUCCAAAAGCCAAAUAUAGCUCAGGUGCUAGAGAUUAGCACAAAUGGAGUCCCCGCCUUCCAGUUAAAGAGAGAAGCCAAAGGAACGGGCAAGCAGUUUUAGUACCAUGAGGACUCAGGCACAGCAAAAUCAGACCUGAACACCCUGCCUCCUGUGACCUGCUCAUCAUGCUGCGGGCUGCUCCUUCCCCGGUCACGGUCUAACUGAGUAACCUGGGCAGGUUUCUUUGUGUUCCCUCAUUCAUCUCAGCCUGGCAAAAGUGGAUGUUUGAAAGUGACCCACCUAUCUGCCAGGCUGGCUUCACGAUUUGAGUCAGACCCCGUGGGCACCAUCCCUUGGCAAACCAGAAAGCCUAUAUCAGAUUCUCAUGUUCCUCUUUUCUCCCCUGCUCCGUGGGUGCCUAAGGAUCAGGGACCGUCCCCUGGGAGCCAGGAUGAGAACAGGGAGGUUGAUGUGCUGAUGGAGUUGGCCACCCCUCCCUGCCCAGCCUGCCUGGGCAGUACUGCACAGAGCUGGCCUCUAUGUGGGGUUCAGAGAGUCUCCUGGCUCCCACACAGGGCCCUUUUCUCCUGCGCUCCUACACAAAGCUCGCUCACAGUCACCCAUUCAGAAAGCUGGGUGAUUGAAAGGAGGCUGCAGGCCGGCAGGGUGACCUUCGGGUCUGCCUGGGUGGGAGAGAGAGUUAGACCCCCCGAAGUUCCCCAGGCGCUAAGAGGACCAGCUGGGCUUUGAUUCCUCACAGACACAGCUAGGAAGAUACCUUGGGGCGAAGAACGCUGGCCUGAGGUGCUGGCUCCCAGCCCCAGUGAAUUACUUACCCUUCUUUUCAUCACUCCCAUUCACAAAAACCGGAAUAAAUAAU